GACGAACCGAGCGAACGUUGUUCGGAAUCACUGGGCUUAAAGGGCGCGUAGGCGGGCUGUCCAGUCCGGGGUGAAAGCCCUCCGCUCAACGGGGGAAUGGCCUUGGAUACUGACGGUCUUGAGGAAGAUAGGGGCAGAUGGAACUCUCGGUGGAGCGGUGAAAUGCGUAGAUAUCGGGAGGAACGCCGGUGGCGAAAGCGAUCUGCUGGGUCUUUUCUGACGCUGAUGCGCGAAAGCCAGGGGAGCGAACGGG
RNAcentral lists this ribosomal RNA (253 nucleotides) under uncultured bacterium. RNAcentral's name for it is "partial 16S ribosomal RNA". It matches the Rfam family "Bacterial small subunit ribosomal RNA", at positions 524 to 776 of the family's 1533-position model. The record is from RNAcentral.